CACCGGAGCCACAAGUGGCAAUCACGUUUAUUGGGCCUAAAGCGUCCGUAGCCGAUCCAUUAACUCUUUUGUGAAAUUGUUUGACUUAAUCAAACAGAUUGCAAAAGAAACUGAUAGGUUAGAGACCGGGAAGAGACAGAGGUAUUCCUUGGGAAGCGGUAAAAUGCUUUAAUCCUUGGAGGACCACCAAUGGCGAAGGCAUCUGUCUAGAACGGGUUUGACGGUGAGGGACGAAAGCUAGGAGAACGAUCGGGAUUAGAUACCCCAGUA
RNAcentral lists this ribosomal RNA (270 nucleotides) under uncultured prokaryote. RNAcentral describes it as "partial 16S ribosomal RNA". It matches the Rfam family "Archaeal small subunit ribosomal RNA", at positions 474 to 743 of the family's 1478-position model. The record is from RNAcentral.